AACGUAGGAGCCAAGCGUUAUCCGAAUUUACUGGGCGUAAAGCGCGUGCAGGCGGUUCGGCAAGUUGGAUGUGAAAGCUCCCGGCUCAACUGGGAGAGGCCGUUCAAAACUGCCGGGCUAGAGGGCGACAGAGGGAGGUGGAAUUCCCGGUGUAGUGGUGAAAUGCGUAGAUAUCGGGAGGAACACCAGUGGCGAAGGCGGCCUCCUGGGUCGCACCUGACGCUCAGACGCGAAAGCUAGGGGAGCGAACGGGAUUAGAGACCCCGGUAGUCCUAGCUGUAAACGAUGUAGACUUGGUGUUGGUGGGGUAAAAGCCAUCAGUGCCGCAGCAAACGCGAUAAGUCUACCGCCUGGGGACUACGGCCGCAAGGUUAAAACUCAAAGGAAUUGACGGGGACCCGCACAAGCAGCGGAGCGUGUGGUUUAAUUCGAUGCUACGCGAAGAACCUUACCCGGGUUUGACAUACAGGUGGUAGGGAAGCGAAAGUGGACCGACCCUUCGGGGAGCCUGAACAGGUGCUGCAUGGCUGUCGUCAGCUCGUGUCGUGAGAUGUCCGGUUAAGUCCGGUAACGAGCGCAACCCUUGCCGUAUGUUACAUGUGUCAUACGGGACUGCCGGUAUAAAGCCGGAGAAAGGUGGGGAUGACGUCAAGUCAGCAUGGCCUUUAUGUCCGGGGCUACACACACGCUACAAUGGCCGGUACAAUAGGUAGCAAGACCGCGAGGUGGAGCCAAUCCUGAAAGCCGGUCUCAGUUCAGAUUGCAGGCUGCAACCCGCCUGCAUGAAGUCGGAGUUGCUAGUAACCGCGCGUCAGCCACAGUGCGGUGAAUACGUUCCCGGGUCU
Molecule: ribosomal RNA, 845 nt
Filed under: uncultured bacterium
Lineage: Bacteria
Description: SSU rRNA
Rfam family: Bacterial small subunit ribosomal RNA
Source: RNAcentral